This 441-nucleotide ribosomal RNA is filed under the name uncultured bacterium. RNAcentral describes it as "partial 16S ribosomal RNA". It matches the Rfam family "Bacterial small subunit ribosomal RNA", at positions 338 to 795 of the family's 1533-position model. The record is from RNAcentral.
CCUACGGGAGGCAGCAGUGGGGAAUAUUGCACAAUGGGCGAAAGCCUGAUGCAGCAACGCCGCGUGAAGGAAGACGGUUUUCGGAUUGUAAACUUCUGUUCUUAGUGAAGAAUAAUGCGGGAAACUAAGGAGCAAGCCACGGCUAACUACGUGCCAGCAGCCGCGGUAAUACGUAGGUGGCAAGCGUUGUCCGGAAUUACUGGGUGUAAAGGGAGCGUAGGCGGGAAGCAAAGUCAGCUGUGAAAACUACGGGCUUAACCUGUAGACUGCAGUUGAAACUGGCGGUCUGGAGUGAAGUAGAGGUUGGCGGAAUUCCGGGUGUAGCGGUGAAAUGCGUAGAUAUUCGGAGGAACACCGGUGGCGAAGGCGACCAACUGGGCUGUAACUGACGCUGAGGCUCGAAAGUGUGGGGAGCAAACAGGAUUAGAUACCCUUGUAGUC